CCCGCCGUCAUCGGGGAGUAGCCGCCCGCGCCGAUCAGCGGGGUUCGCGUCAACACACUUCCUCUCGCCCGGAGAGGAUGGCGCGUUCUGGCCCGUCAGGGCCCUGGCAAGACCGCUGGCU
RNAcentral lists this small RNA (121 nucleotides) under Brevundimonas sp. RNAcentral's name for it is "Manganese sequence". The stretch from base 1 to 104 matches the Rfam family "Manganese Mn2+ riboswitch aptamer (yybP-ykoY)". From Rfam's summary of the family: This RNA was originally discovered in E. coli during a large scale screen and was named SraF. Lineage: Bacteria; Pseudomonadati; Pseudomonadota; Alphaproteobacteria; Caulobacterales; Caulobacteraceae. The record is from RNAcentral.